AGGAAAAGAAACUAACAAGGAUUCCCCUAGUAACGGCGAGUGAAGAGGGAAGAGCCCAAGAUUGAAAGCUGGCGUCUUCGGCGUCCGCAUUGUAAUCUCAAGAAGUGUUUUCCGCUUCGGACCAUGCCUAAGUCCCUUGGAAAAGGGCAUCAUAGAGGGUGAUAAUCCCGUUCAUGGCAUGGAGCGCCCGAAGCUUUGUGAUACGCUUUCUAAGAGUCGAGUUGUUUGGGAAUGCAGCUCAAAAUGGGUGGUAAAUGCCAUCUAAGGCUAAAUAUUGGGGAGAGACCGAUAGCGAACAAGUACAGUGAUGGAAAGAUGAAAAGAACUUUGAAAAGAGAGUUAAACAGUACGUGAAAUUGCCAAAAGGGAAGGGUAGGAGGUCAGAGAUGCGUCUUGGAAUUCAGCCUUGCUUCUGCUUGGUGUUUUUUCCAUUUUGCAGGCCAACGUCGGUUUUGGGCACUGGAGAAGGGUGGAAGGAACGUGGCACCUCUCGGGGUGUGUUAUAGCCUUCUACUGGAUACAGCGACCGAGACCGAGGACAGCAGCGUACUCGCAAGAGCGGGCCUUCGGGCACCUUUACGCUUAGGGCGUUGGCAUAAUGGCCCUCUACCACCCGUCU
RNAcentral lists this ribosomal RNA (619 nucleotides) under Pseudozyma sp. 9.AURO. RNAcentral describes it as "eukaryotic LSU rRNA". It matches the Rfam family "Eukaryotic large subunit ribosomal RNA", at positions 54 to 654 of the family's 3401-position model. The record is from RNAcentral. Lineage: Eukaryota; Fungi; Basidiomycota; Ustilaginomycetes; Ustilaginales; Ustilaginaceae.